AAUAUGCACAAUGAAUAUGUCACCAAACUCUCCAUGGAGAUUUCCCGUCUCAGCGAGCUGAUCGACGAGAUGAAGUGCCGGCAGCCAGCGAGUGAAUUCCUGCAGGACAUCAGAAGCACCUUGGCCAGUUAUUGAAUAUGUGUCUAUGUGACGUUCCUCUGGUGUUAUCUUGACCAGUGCACAGGCAGCGUGUGAGUAUGCGGUAUUGGUGUGGGUGGUGGGUGAAGUUUCCCCUUCCACCA
This is a long non-coding RNA of Mauremys reevesii (Reeves's turtle), 242 nucleotides long. RefSeq lists it as uncharacterized. The transcript is spliced from 3 exons. The record is from RefSeq and is a predicted model, not a curated record. Lineage: Eukaryota; Metazoa; Chordata; Testudines; Geoemydidae.